Pelobates cultripes (western spadefoot toad) is the source of this 1600-nucleotide non-coding RNA. Lineage: Eukaryota; Metazoa; Chordata; Amphibia; Anura; Pelobatidae. The record is from the annotation of a GenBank genome assembly.
AACGUCCAGGUUGGAGUGCAGUAACUGUGACUGGGCGGGCUGACGGAGAGUAAAUACACCAUUAGAUGGCGCUGUGUUACACAACGUCCAGGUUGGAGUGCAGUAACUGUGACUGGGCGGGCUGACGGAGAGUAAAUACACCAUUAGAUGGCGCUGUGUUAAACAACGUCCAGGUUGGAGUGCAGUAACUGUGACUGGGCGGGCUGACGGAGAGUAAAUACACCAUUAGAUGGCGCUGUGUUACACAACGUCCAGGUUGGAGUGCAGUAACUGUGACUGGGCGGGCUGACGGAGAGUAAAUACACCAUUAGAUGGCGCUGUGUUCCACAACGUCCAGGUUGGAGUGCAGUAACUGUGACUGGGCGGGCUGACGGAGAGUAAAUACACCAUUAGAUGGCGCUGUGUUAAACAACGUCCAGGUUGGAGUGCAGUAACUGUGACUGGGCGGGCUGACGGAGAGUAAAUACACCAUUAGAUGGCGCUGUGUUCCACAACGUCCAGGUUGGAGUGCAGUAACUGUGACUGGGCGGGCUGACGGAGAGUAAAUACACCAUUAGAUGGCGCUGUGUUCCACAACGUCCAGGUUGGAGUGCAGUAACUGUGACUGGGCGGGCUGACGGAGAGUAAAUACACCAUUAGAUGGCGCUGUGUUAAACAACGUCCAGGUUGGAGUGCAGUAACUGUGACUGGGCGGGCUGACGGAGAGUAAAUACACCAUUAGAUGGCGCUGUGUUACACAACGUCCAGGUUGGAGUGCAGUAACUGUGACUGGGCGGGCUGACGGAGAGUAAAUACACCAUUAGAUGGCGCUGUGUUCCACAACGUCCAGGUUGGAGUGCAGUAACUGUGACUGGGCGGGCUGACGGAGAGUAAAUACACCAUUAGAUGGCGCUGUGUUAAACAACGUCCAGGUUGGAGUGCAGUAACUGUGACUGGGCGGGCUGACGGAGAGUAAAUACACCAUUAGAUGGCGCUGUGUUCCACAACGUCCAGGUUGGAGUGCAGUAACUGUGACUGGGCGGGCUGACGGAGAGUAAAUACACCAUUAGAUGGCGCUGUGUUACACAACGUCCAGGUUGGAGUGCAGUAACUGUGACUGGGCGGGCUGACGGAGAGUAUAUCAGUCUAUAAGAAGGUCCAUAAUCAGCGGGCAGGAGAUAAGGUCUCAAACCUCUCUACAAGCCACUUAAUCUUUACCACAAGUAAACGGUGGAGAUGGAACUGGCUGGCCAAUCCUGGUUAAAUUAAAGCUGAAGUCAGAAACAUAAGAGGGAGCUUCUGUCAUAGUUAAAUGGUCUCCCAUCCGCAAACUGAUCCCGCUUCAUGUUUAUGCCCAUUUGCUCUAUAAACAUGAUGCAUUCUGGUCAAGGGAUAUACUUCUCAAUAAUGCAUAAAAAUAUACAAUCUACAAUUUUACCACAUGACCGGAGACUUCAUAUUUUGCAUAUCUCUCUUUACUGAAAACUCCAGCAGCACAGAUCAUAAACAGAACGACCAAUCAAAACACAGCUAGAUAUUUCAUAAAAGGCCCUGCCAGUCUAAGCUCCUCCUCUUUCGUUGCUGCUCCUGCAUGCACAGGUCAGAAUAUUUUGUCCUUGUG